GAUGAACGCUGGCGGCGUGCCUAAUACAUGCAAGUCGAGCGAACGGACGAGAAGCUUGCUUCUCUGUCGUUAGCGGCGGACGGGUGAGUAACACGUGGAUAACCUACCUAUAAGACUGGGAUAACUUCGGGAAACCGUAGCUAAUACCGGAUAAUAUUUUGCACCGCAUGGUUCAAAAGUGAAAGACGGUGUUGCUGUCACUUAUAGAUGGAUCCGCGCUGCAUUAGCUAGUUGGUACGGUAACGGCUUACCAAGGCAACUAUGCAUAGCCGACGUGAGAGGGUGAUCGCCCACACGGGAGCUGGGCCACGGUCCAUACUCCUACGGGAGGCAGCAGUAGGGAACCUGCCGCAAUGGUCGAAAGCCUUGCGGAGCAACGGCGCGUGAGUGGUGGAGGUCUUCCGAUCGUAAAACUCUGUUAUUAGUUAAGAACAUAUGUGUAAGUAACUGUGCACAGCUUGACGGUACCGAAUCAGAAAGCCACGGCUAACUACGUG
This 497-nucleotide ribosomal RNA is filed under the name uncultured bacterium. RNAcentral describes it as "partial 16S ribosomal RNA". It matches the Rfam family "Bacterial small subunit ribosomal RNA", at positions 28 to 507 of the family's 1533-position model. The record is from RNAcentral.